Molecule: unclassified non-coding RNA, 201 nt
Filed under: Hevea brasiliensis (rubber tree)
Lineage: Eukaryota; Viridiplantae; Streptophyta; Magnoliopsida; Malpighiales; Euphorbiaceae
Source: RNAcentral
AUUCUCUAGUAUGGUUGUUUGAUCCUUUGGUCGUAUUCUAUGGUUAUGAUUCUGCUAUGUCUUUCAUUCCUUCGAAAGUCGAUUUUAUGGUAUGAACGCUUAUGACCUCCUUUGGUUUCAAUUAUAGGGAAACAAAAAUGCAACGAGCAUCAUUAUACCCGAUAAUGAGGGAAGUUUCAAUAGAAAAAUAUUGGAAGGGAA